GACGUAGGGCGCGAGCGUUGUCCGGAAUCACUGGGCGUAAAGGGUGCGUAGGUGGCUCGUUAAGCGUGUGGUGAAAGCCUGGGGCUCAACCCCAGGUCUGCCGUGCGAACUGGCGAGCUUGAGCAUAGUAGAGGCAGGCGGAAUUCCGGGUGUAGCGGUGGAAUGCGUAGAUAUCCGGAAGAACACCGGUGGCGAAGGCGGCCUGCUGGGCUAUUGCUGACACUGAGGCACGACAGCGUGGGGAGCAAACAGG
RNAcentral lists this ribosomal RNA (253 nucleotides) under uncultured bacterium. RNAcentral's name for it is "partial 16S ribosomal RNA". It matches the Rfam family "Bacterial small subunit ribosomal RNA", at positions 524 to 776 of the family's 1533-position model. The record is from RNAcentral.